CCGAGGACCUGAGAAGCGCGAGACCUGUGGCCGGGUUCUUUUGUGUGCGCGCCGUGGCCUCCGGAGCCGGCUGACUGCAGCCUGGUCAGUGGGGGCUUUUGAAAGGCGGCACCGGCCUGACCAACCCCUAGACCUCAUUCUGCCCAUAAGUUUUGAGCAUUUACUAAUUAUAAAGCGGUACUCUGGAGAGCCGAAACUGUUACUGAUGCGGUCCCCCGUGCUUAAAAAAGAGCUGCUCCAGUCUGAUGGCUUCCAAUACCAUCUGUUUACCUGAAGACUCCUGACUUGGUAACUCUAGUCUGACCCUGGGAUGCAAACAGUAUUAAACUCCAGACCUGUAUAUAUCCAAUUGUUUAUUCAGCUGCCAUUUGCAUGUGUGCCAGACAUCCUGAACCCAACCUGCACCACAGAGGAAUUGCUGACAUUCACCCAACCUGUUCCUUCAACAGUCUUCAUCCCAGCAGUUGAUGGCAACUCCUUCUUUCUAGUUGCUCAGGGCCAAAAAUCUGACUUUGUGUCUUUUUUCACCCCAAAUCCAAACCCAAUCCAACUCUGAA
Lontra canadensis (Northern American river otter) is the source of this 557-nucleotide long non-coding RNA. RefSeq lists it as uncharacterized. The record is from RefSeq and is a predicted model, not a curated record. Lineage: Eukaryota; Metazoa; Chordata; Mammalia; Carnivora; Mustelidae. The transcript is spliced from 2 exons.